GUAGUCUAGGACAGGUCAGUUCCAGACAGACAGACAGGUUGUGUAGUCUAGGACAGGUCAGUUCCAGACAGACAGACAGACAGGUUGUGUAGUCUAGGACAGGUCAGUGACAGACAGACAGACAGGUUGUGUAGUCUAGGACAGGUCAGUUCCAGACAGACAGACAGACAGGUUGUGUAGUCUAGGACAGGUCAGUUCCAGACAGACAGACAGGUUGUGUAGUCUAGGACAGGUCCGUUCCAGACAGACAGUCUAGGACAGGUCAACGACAGACAGGCUGUGUAGUGACAGACAGCUGAUAUGAACAGUGAUUAGAGUGUAGUAAUAACAAUAGAAAAGAUGAUUACGACAGUGACAUUAAAGACCAACAUUUAUCCCCCGUUAACCACAGUCCUGGAAUCAGAUGUUAACUCCUGUCUCUACAUAGUGGAGGUUAGGGACCCCCGUUAACCACAGUCCUGGAAUCAGAUGUUAACUCCUGUCUCUACAUAGUGGAGGUUAGACCCCCGUUAACCACAGUCCUGGAAUCAGAUGUUAACUCCUGUCUCUACAUAGUGGAGGUUAGACCCCCGUUAACCACAGUCCUGGAAUCAGAUGUUAACUCCUGUCUCUACAUAGUGGAGGUUAGGGACCCCCUGUUAACCACAGUCCUGGAAUCAGAUGUUAACUCCUGUCUACAUAGUGGAGGUUAGACCCCCGUUAACCACAGUCCUGGAAUCAGAUGUUAACUCCUGUCUCUACAUAGUGGAGGUUAGGACCCCCCGUUAACCACAGUCCUGGAAUCAGAUGUUAACUCCUGUCUCUACAUAGUGGAGGUUAGGACCCCCGUUAACCACAGUCCUGGAAUCAGAUGUUAACUCCUGUCUACAUAGUGGAGGUUAGGACCCCCGUUAACCACAGUCCUGGAAUCAGAUGUUAACUCCUG
RNAcentral lists this long non-coding RNA (925 nucleotides) under Salmo salar (Atlantic salmon). RNAcentral describes it as "lncRNA (ENSSSAG00000094071.1)". The record is from RNAcentral. Lineage: Eukaryota; Metazoa; Chordata; Actinopteri; Salmoniformes; Salmonidae.